GAGUGUUUAGUUUAUAUAAAACAAUUGUUUUGAAAGCAUUUCAAAAGGUUUUAACCUUAACACCCU
Molecule: transfer RNA, 66 nt
Filed under: Stereomastis sculpta
Lineage: Eukaryota; Metazoa; Arthropoda; Malacostraca; Decapoda; Crangonidae
Description: tRNA-Ser
Source: RNAcentral